This is a long non-coding RNA of Silurus meridionalis, 527 nucleotides long. RefSeq lists it as uncharacterized. The record is from RefSeq and is a predicted model, not a curated record. The transcript has 4 exons. Lineage: Eukaryota; Metazoa; Chordata; Actinopteri; Siluriformes; Siluridae.
AGCAGUGGAUGGACGCGUUUGCUCUGCGGCCCGGAUGAUGGGUGAAGUUCAGACAGAAACACGGACGGAAAGAAGCAUUUCUGGUGUUCACCGGGUGCAUCUGUUUGUACAGAGAGAAGAGAUGGAGAGAGAGAGAGAGAGAGAGAGAGAGAGAGAGUCAGGAGAAGCUGGGGCAAAGGAGAUGUGGAGAGAGGAAGGUGUCACCUUUUAGAAAGCGAGAGCGGCGCUCUUCAUGUCGAAAAAUAGGAGUUUAGACGUUCUCAUUACGAGCAGGUUUUCUAAUAUCCUCAUAUCUAAAUAAGGCACCUCACCUCCUCUGUGUCCCACAAUGCUUUCCUGCCAUUCAUCUCACACAUGUGGAAACUGAUGUCAUCAGCUGAAACAGACAGCGGUGGACAGUAAGGAACAAACCACCGAUCAUUGAUGGGAUCAACUAAUCACCAACAUACAGUUCAGCGUCGGUUCAUCAGCAAGCAGAACAUUCUUAAAGGAAUAAAUGCUGGAAGAAACUCCUGACUCGAACUCGC